CAGUUACUCGUUUCCCAGCUGAGCAGAAACGUCCUGUUGGACCUCUAGUUGUGGUUGGUGUUAGAGAUGGAGUUCUUUGGUUAAUUGACAGGUACAUGAGUGCACAUGCUUUAUCCUUAAAUCAUCCUGGUAUCCGUUGUCGUUGUCUUGCUGCCUAUGGUGAUGCAGUCAGUGCUGUCAAAUGGGCAAGUAGGCUUGGUAG
Molecule: unclassified non-coding RNA, 202 nt
Filed under: Hevea brasiliensis (rubber tree)
Lineage: Eukaryota; Viridiplantae; Streptophyta; Magnoliopsida; Malpighiales; Euphorbiaceae
Source: RNAcentral